UGAUCAAUUUAGUUUAAUACAGGUUCUCAUAUUCAUGGCUUUAUUUUCCUGUAAGGUGACAAGUGAUAAUCUCAAAGUUUUCUGGAUUUCUUAUCAUUCUUAUAUGAUUACUUGCUCUUUUGUUCCUACUGUGGGUUUUAGUCCAUCAUCCAGAUGGUGGUGGUUGAGGAGAUUCCCUCGCCCCCAUACAAUGAAUAGCGCUUUGAUUUUACAGGCUUGGUUGGUUUCCAAGGAUUUUAGGAGGACGAGCGCGUGGCUCAUUGUUACUGUUACAUUUAUUUUUUCUUUCAGGUGGCAGGUGGAGUUAGCCGGCGGUAGGUUUGAGCUAUAUGGCGGUAGGUUGGCGGUAUAUGGCGGUAUAUGGCGGGAGGUGGAGUUCGACGUCAUGAAGGUCUUCUUCGCUUAGCCCCGUCCUAGCUCACGGUACGGAGCCAGGCAAAAGUCUUAAGGUGACCCUUAGGCCGGUUAGCUCAGAUGGUUAGAGCGUGGUGCUAAUAACGCCAAGGUCACGGGUUCGAUCCCCGUACGGGCCAUGAGAUGCUCUUAUCUUCAGACAAAUUCUCAGGACUGAUUCACUGACA
Long non-coding RNA from Ictalurus punctatus (channel catfish), 581 nucleotides. The record is from Ensembl. Lineage: Eukaryota; Metazoa; Chordata; Actinopteri; Siluriformes; Ictaluridae.